RNAcentral lists this ribosomal RNA (656 nucleotides) under Pseudarthrobacter siccitolerans. Its description in RNAcentral is "bacterial SSU rRNA". It matches the Rfam family "Bacterial small subunit ribosomal RNA", at positions 803 to 1453 of the family's 1533-position model. The record is from RNAcentral. Lineage: Bacteria; Bacillati; Actinomycetota; Actinomycetes; Micrococcales; Micrococcaceae.
UAAACGUUGGGCACUAGGUGUGGGGGACAUUCCCACGUUUUCCGCGCCGUAGCUAACGCAUUAAGUGCCCCGCCUGGGGAGUACGGCCGCAAGGCUAAAACUCAAAGGAAUUGACGGGGGCCCGCACAAGCGGCGGAGCAUGCGGAUUAAUUCGAUGCAACGCGAAGAACCUUACCAAGGCUUGACAUGAACCGGUAAGACCUGGAAACAGGUCCCCCGCUUGCGGUCGGUUUACAGGUGGUGCAUGGUUGUCGUCAGCUCGUGUCGUGAGAUGUUGGGUUAAGUCCCGCAACGAGCGCAACCCUCGUUCUAUGUUGCCAGCACGUGAUGGUGGGGACUCAUAGGAGACUGCCGGGGUCAACUCGGAGGAAGGUGGGGACGACGUCAAAUCAUCAUGCCCCUUAUGUCUUGGGCUUCACGCAUGCUACAAUGGCCGGUACAAAGGGUUGCGAUACUGUGAGGUGGAGCUAAUCCCAAAAAGCCGGUCUCAGUUCGGAUUGGGGUCUGCAACUCGACCCCAUGAAGUCGGAGUCGCUAGUAAUCGCAGAUCAGCAACGCUGCGGUGAAUACGUUCCCGGGCCUUGUACACACCGCCCGUCAAGUCACGAAAGUUGGUAACACCCGAAGCCGGUGGCCUAACCCCUUGUGGAGGGAGC